Molecule: long non-coding RNA, 2271 nt
Organism: Cyprinodon tularosa
Lineage: Eukaryota; Metazoa; Chordata; Actinopteri; Cyprinodontiformes; Cyprinodontidae
Exons: 2
Source: RefSeq, a predicted model, not a curated record
AAGAAAUUCCUCAACAUAGGAAUUUGCAUUGGAGUGUUUCUAUAAGUUUUAUUUCAUGUUUGGUGAGUUUUUGUACCCCGGUACCAGCAGGGGCUCACAGCUCUCACCAGGAAGACCACAGCAAUGAAGCAAUGCGGUGAGCCCUGUUUGGCUUUAAAUUUUACAGGCCGGUAAAUGUCAGUCUCAUGAAUUAACAAAAUGAGAACAACGUCUUUGUUGAUCCGCGGUUUAUUUUCAAGUUUGUCUGCAGAAAAUGACCUUCCAGAAUGCCUUGUGGGAAUGAGCCAAAGAGGGAGAUUUACAAUCUCAUCAGUGCAGCUUUAUCUAUGACGUGAGCAGCAGUCUCAGCAGAAACUCCCAGACUUCCCUCUCUUCAGAUACCUCUUCCAGCUCUUCUGGAGGAAGCCUGAGGUGCUACCAGGCCAGCAGAGCGACAUUGUGCCUCCAGCGUGUCCUUGGUCGUCCCCUGGGCCUCGUCAUGAUGGGAUGUGCCUAGGACAUCUCUAGACAAAGGCAUCCAGGGCGCAUCGAAAAAACACAGGUUGGAGCCACUUCAGCUGACUCGUCUCGAUGUGAAGGAGAAGCGGCUCUACUCUGAGCCUGUCCCAGAUGACUGAGCUACAUUCUCCGAUGUAGUGUGGAGCCACGUAUGGUGUCACCUGGCCUGGGCAACAUUCCUGGCUCUAGCCCCGAAUUAUAGCCUUAAAUCCUUUUUACCCCCAAGAAAGAAGAAAUGUCAAAUAAAUGGCCUGCUUUAUAACAUUAAAAAGACAUUACAUAAUUUUCUUAUGAUACUGUAACCAGUGGUCAAAACACAGCAACUGCAGCACUCUUCUGCUCGUUCUCAUAGCUCUCGCUCAUACAAGCAUUCACCUUACCUGGAGUUGUUAUUAGUGUCUGAGUUGGGCUGGACACUGGUUGCUUCUGAUUAUCCACAAAAUCCAUCUUGAAUACAUCGCUUUGAUUGGUUGUAAGGUUGGACCUGUUUGAGGUGUCAGUCUGCUCAUCAAAUUAUGUUUUAGUUUUAGUUGUAUAGUGUGAAAUUAAAAAGGCUAUUUUAAAGACAUUUAGAUACACAAACAACCCAAGGCUUCAAUAACUGAAGAGCAUUAGACUUUUUAAGAUGGCAUAAUGAAAGCCUUAAUUUAAUACUUUUUUUAGAGAUCUUUUUUUAUAUUGUCAAGAUUAUUUUUCAUAGAUACAUUGUGGAGUACAUGGUGCAGUAGAUGGCCUAAAACAAGGUGCCUAUGAGGAUUUGCUCAGCCCCCAGUGUUUCCAGGCCCCCAAAAAACGCACCUGCAUUGUCCUGUUUUCCUAUACAUAAAAUCUGGAACUCACACUAACCACACUAACCAUUUGGCCUAUUCUCUAAAAAACCCCUUGGGACAUGUCUUACCAUGAGUACCCUUCUCAGUCACUGGGGUGACUGAGAGGGGUACUUUUGGGCAUGACAUUUUGGCAAGACUGUCCAGAAGUUGAACACAUUUAUUUAUAUAAAGGGUUGUUUUACAUUAGUAUAAAUUGGCCCCAGAUAGAUGGUUGAUAAGGAGUAAUUCUUCAAUAAAUUCUAUCCAUAAAGAAAUUGUUAUAAUGUAGAUAUUGCACAUGAAUGUAUGUGGCAUGUUGUUUUCCUGUGGCUCACCUCUGUGUUUAGGUGAAUUGAGUUGGACUGAGAUAAAUGUAGUUUUGUAUGGACUAUGGUUAUAUAUAUACUUAAAACAGUUGCUUUUUUGUGUUUUUUUUCUUUGCUUAAAGGAAGACAACAUGUAUUUAGUUGUGUAUAAUUGCUCUAAGUAAGUGGGAAAAACAGCUGCUAUAGAUAAGUCAUAUAGGUCUAUCAAGUAACCCAAGACCACGCUGCUGUAUAGAAAACAUUUCCUGUAGAAUGCUCUUUUUAUGCCAAUAACGUUGUAAACUAUCAGUACCAUCCACUUUGAUUAUUUCUUCUAGCAGUGAAUAAACUUUCCUUUACCAUUCUGUGUCCAAUAUCUUGUGUUUACCUGCCAAGUCCAAAAGGACUUGUUUAUGAUGUGUUAACUAGUGUGAACUUUGAAUAAAUUUAUCUUUUCAUCUAAGCUCAGAUAUCCUUUUAUAGUAACUGGGAAUAAUAGAUCGUUUUGAUAAGUACCUUAUUUGGGUUUAGGUUCCCCAGGGUGUUUUCAUAAACACCUGUUGGGGGGGGGCGGUAUUAUUGGUGUGCAGGAUGUCCAACCAACGUUCAUUGUGUUUUCGAAUGCUGUAUAAAUUUACAUAAUAAAUACAUUGAAACAA